CCUACGGGUGGCAGCAGUGAGGAAUAUUGGUCAAUGGGCGGAAGCCUGAACCAGCCAAGUAGCGUGCAGGAUGACGGCCCUACGGGUUGUAAACUGCUUUUAUACGGGAAUAACGCGCCUUACGUGUAGGGCUUUGCAUGUACCGUAUGAAUAAGGACCGGCUAAUUCCGUGCCAGCAGCCGCGGUAAUACGGAAGGUCCGGGCGUUAUCCGGAUUUAUUGGGUUUAAAGGCAGCGUAGGCCGCAUGUCAAGCGUGCUGUGAAAUGUCCGGGCUCAACCCGGGCCUUGCAGCGCGAACUGGCGUGCUUGAGUCCGCGGAAAGCAGGCGGAAUUCGUCGUGUAGCGGUGAAAUGCUUAGAUAUGACGAAGAACCCCGAUUGCGAAGGCAGCCUGCUGCAGCGGAACUGACGCUGAUGCUCGAAAGCGCGGGUAUCGAACAGGAUUAGAUACCCGAGUAGUC
This 460-nucleotide ribosomal RNA is filed under the name uncultured bacterium. RNAcentral describes it as "partial 16S ribosomal RNA". It matches the Rfam family "Bacterial small subunit ribosomal RNA", at positions 338 to 795 of the family's 1533-position model. The record is from RNAcentral.